UCAAAUAACUUUGCACUGAUGAGGCCUAAUGAUCCGAAACUUUCACAAUCAGUAGUCACUAUACCAAGCUAGCUCUCCUAUAAAUUUUGCUGUUCUAGCUUAAUUAGCUUUUGAGUUAUUUAAUCUUAAACUUCAAAAAGUAAAAUUAAUAAAUUAUUAAGAAAGUAUAGGUGCCUCGACUGCCUUGGCUCAAAUAACUUUUUACUGAUGAGGCCUAAUGAUCCGAAACUUUCACAAUCAGUAGUCACUAUACCAAGCUAGCUCUCCUAUAAAUUUCGCUGUUCUAGCUUAAUUAGCUUUUGAGUUAUUUAAUCUUAAACUUCAAAAAGUAAAAUUAAUAAAUUAUUAAGAAAGUAUAGGUGCCUCGACUGCCUUGGCUCAAAUAACUUUUUACUGAUGAGGCCUAAUGAUCCGAAACUUUCACAAUCAGUAGUCACUAUACCAAGCUAGCUCUCCUAUAAAUUUCGCUGUUCUAGCUUAAUUAGCUUUUGAGUUAUUUAAUCUUAAACUUCAAAAAGUAAAAUUAAUAAAUUAUUAAGAAAGUAUAGGUGCCUCGACUGCCUUGGCUCAAAUAACUUUUUACUGAUGAGGCCUAAUGAUCCGAAACUUUCACAAUCAGUAGUCACUAUACCAAGCUAGCUCUCCUAUAAAUUUCGCUGUUCUAGCUUAAUUAGCUUUUGAGUUAUUUAAUCUUAAACUUCAAAAAGUAAAAUUAAUAAAUUAUUAAGAAAGUAUAGGUGCCUCGACUGCCUUGGCUCAAAUAACUUUUUACUGAUGAGGCCUAAUGAUCCGAAACUUUCACAAUCAGUAGUCACUAUACCAAGCUAGCUCUCCUAUAAAUUUCGCUGUUCUAGCUUAAUUAGCUUUUGAGUUAUUUAAUCUUAAACUUCAAAAAGUAAAAUUAAUAAAUUAUUAAGAAAGUAUAGGUGCCUCGACUGCCUUGGCUCAAAUAACUUUGCACUGAUGAAGCCUAAUGAUCCGAAACUUUUACAAUCAGUAGUCAAUAUACCAAGCUAGCUCUCCUAUAAAU
Anthonomus grandis grandis is the source of this 1030-nucleotide long non-coding RNA. RefSeq lists it as uncharacterized. The transcript is spliced from 4 exons. The record is from RefSeq and is a predicted model, not a curated record. NCBI's taxonomy places the organism in Eukaryota, Metazoa, Arthropoda, Insecta, Coleoptera, Curculionidae.